RNAcentral lists this ribosomal RNA (253 nucleotides) under uncultured bacterium. RNAcentral's name for it is "partial 16S ribosomal RNA". It matches the Rfam family "Bacterial small subunit ribosomal RNA", at positions 524 to 776 of the family's 1533-position model. The record is from RNAcentral.
UACGGAGGGUGCGAGCGUUAAUCGGAAUUACUGGGCGUAAAGCGCAUGCAGGUGGUUUGUUAAGUCAGAUGUGAAAGCCCGGGGCUCAACCUCGGAAGGUCAUUUGAAACUGGCAAACUAGAGUACUGUAGAGGGGGGUAGAAUUUCAGGUGUAGCGGUGAAAUGCGUAGAGAUCUGAAGGAAUACCAGUGGCGAAGGCGGCCCCUUGGACAGAUACUGACACUCAGAUGCGAAAGCGUGGGGAGCAAACAGG